This 601-nucleotide ribosomal RNA is filed under the name Salmonella enterica. RNAcentral describes it as "partial 23S ribosomal RNA". It matches the Rfam family "Bacterial large subunit ribosomal RNA", at positions 689 to 1286 of the family's 2925-position model. Lineage: Bacteria; Pseudomonadati; Pseudomonadota; Gammaproteobacteria; Enterobacterales; Enterobacteriaceae. The record is from RNAcentral.
UGGGCGUUAAGUUGCAGGGUAUAGACCCGAAACCCGGUGAUCUAGCCAUGGGCAGGUUGAAGGUUGGGUAACACUAACUGGAGGACCGAACCGACUAAUGUUGAAAAAUUAGCGGAUGACCUGUGGCUGGGGGUGAAAGGCCAAUCAAACCGGGAGAUAGCUGGUUCUCCCCGAAAGCUAUUUAGGUAGCGCCUCGUGAAUUCAUCUCCGGGGGUAGAGCACUGUUUCGGCUAGGGGGCCAUCCCGGCUUACCAACCCGAUGCAAACUGCGAAUACCGGAGAAUGUUAUCACGGGAGACACACGGCGGGUGCUAACGUCCGUCGUGAAGAGGGAAACAACCCAGACCGCCAGCUAAGGUCCCAAAGUCAUGGUUAAGUGGGAAACGAUGUGGGAAGGCCCAGACAGCCAGGAUGUUGGCUUAGAAGCAGCCAUCAUUUAAAGAAAGCGUAAUAGCUCACUGGUCGAGUCGGCCUGCGCGGAAGAUGUAACGGGGCUAAACCAUGCACCGAAGCUGCGGCAGCGACGCUGAUGCGUUGUUGGGUAGGGGAGCGUUCUGUAAGCCUGUGAAGGUGGCCUGUGAGGGUUGCUGGAGGUAUCAGA